AUUGAACGCUGGCGGCAUGCCUUACACAUGCAAGUCGAACGGCAGCACGGGAGCAAUCCUGGUGGCGAGUGGCGAACGGGUGAGUAAUAUAUCGGAACGUGCCCAGUCGUGGGGAUAACGUAGCGAAAGCUACGCUAAUACCGCAUACGAUCUAUGGAUGAAAGCGGGGGAUCGCAAGACCUCGCGCGAUUGGAGCGGCCGAUAUCAGAUUAGGUAGUUGGUGAGGUAAAGGCUCACCAAGCCGACGAUCUGUAGCUGGUCUGAGAGGACGACCAGCCACACUGGGACUGAGACACGGCCCAGACUCCUACGGGAGGCAGCAGUGGGGAAUUUUGGACAAUGGGCGCAAGCCUGAUCCAGCAAUGCCGCGUGCAGGAUGAAGGCCUUUGGUUGUAAACUGCUUUUGUACGGAACGAAACGGUGAGCUCUAAUACAGUUUGCUAAUGACGGUACCGUAAGAAUAAG
This 465-nucleotide ribosomal RNA is filed under the name uncultured bacterium. RNAcentral's name for it is "bacterial SSU rRNA". It matches the Rfam family "Bacterial small subunit ribosomal RNA", at positions 30 to 490 of the family's 1533-position model. The record is from RNAcentral.